This is a long non-coding RNA of Oncorhynchus gorbuscha (pink salmon), 245 nucleotides long. RefSeq lists it as uncharacterized. The transcript is spliced from 3 exons. The record is from RefSeq and is a predicted model, not a curated record. Lineage: Eukaryota; Metazoa; Chordata; Actinopteri; Salmoniformes; Salmonidae.
GUUUGAGAAGGCAAAGACUGGCACUGGAGUUGAAGCCCAUCAAAGUUGUUUCAACAUGGCACAUGAUCGGGUGGACCUCAUCAGACCCUUCACGAAAUCCAGGAAUGGCAUCAGCUGGUGUCUGACGGUGACCGAUCACUUUACCAAGUGGGUGGAGGCGAUACCCAUUAAGGACGAGACUAGCGAGGCCACCUCCGAGGCGAUGGUGGACUAUCUUCAACAUCCACGGUUCUCCUGAGGUCAUG